GACGGUGGCAAUGAGUCUGACCUUCUGGCCCGAAAGGGUUGGGUAAACUGGUCAAUCACCGUCAUGACAGGGAUCGGGGCUUGGAAUUGUUCCCCGUGAACGAGGAAUUCCUAGUAAGUGCAAGUCAUAAGCUUGCGCUGAUUACGUCCCUGCCCUUUGUACACACCGCCCGUCGCUACUACCGAUUGAAUGGUUUAGUAAGGUCCUUGGAUUGGAGCCAUUGUGGUGGUUGCCGAAAGGUGGUCACCCGACAGGCGCCGAGAAGACGACCAAAC
RNAcentral lists this ribosomal RNA (275 nucleotides) under Spatulifer rugata. RNAcentral's name for it is "partial 18S ribosomal RNA". It matches the Rfam family "Eukaryotic small subunit ribosomal RNA", at positions 1505 to 1764 of the family's 1831-position model. Lineage: Eukaryota; Metazoa; Platyhelminthes; Cestoda; Proteocephalidea; Monticelliidae. The record is from RNAcentral.